RNAcentral lists this long non-coding RNA (2973 nucleotides) under Homo sapiens (human). RNAcentral describes it as "HSALNT0396723". Lineage: Eukaryota; Metazoa; Chordata; Mammalia; Primates; Hominidae. The record is from RNAcentral.
GAGAUUCUGAAUCUCAAAACCAAUGAAAGUUUCAAAAGUUGAAAAAUUGACUUUCAUCCUUGAAUCCAGUGUACAAGUAAGCUGGUAACUCUCAGACCAAGAUUCAGCACCCCUGAGACUUGAGAAACCGUGAGUCCACUAAGGAGACACAGUCUAGAGGAUGGAUGGAAGGUCUCAUACACAGAUCAAGUCCACAGUUGAGAUUGUUAUUUGCCUCUUCUCUUCUGCCUGGGCACUGCCAAAGAAAAAAGGAGAUUGUAGCAAUUCACUGGACCCAGAACCUAGUUGAGGGAGCAUUGUGACAUGCCACUGGGCUCAGCACCCAGGUGAUGUUCCUCUCCUGCCUGGUCCCUUCCAUCAGGGAAUAUUGUACAAAUCUCUGGCCAAGCACCCAGUUGAUGUGACUCUCCUGCUCACUACCUACUCACAGGUUACAUGUCCCAUGUCGCAGAAAAUGUUGUAAUGUAUUGCUGGACCCAGUCACCAGAUGAUGUGUCUCUCCUGCCAAGGCUGUGCCCACAGAGAGCAUUUUGACAUAUCACUGGGCUCAGCACCCAGGUGAAAUGACUCUGCUGCCUGUACUCUGCUUUAAGAGGGGAUUGUAAUAUAUCUGUGGCUGAGCACCUAGGUGAGAUGACUUCUGCGUGGUUUCUGACCUCAGGAAAGAUUGUGACAUAUCUUUGCCGAAAACCUACAUGAUGUGAAUCUGCUGCUCACUUCCUACCGACAGUCUCCAAAGUUAUCAGAAACCUGCAUUUAAAAAUACCUGGCAAAGUUCCAUAGCGGACCAUAAAUCACCUCUUGAAGAGGAUCGAAUCAAGACAACAAUUGUCUGAGGGAUUGAGACAAUUCUGGAAGCCCAGCACCUAGGUGAUGUGACUUUCAUCUUUUGUUUGGACCGUGUGCACAAAAGGAAGAGUGGCUUAUCACUGGACCUCACACACAGGAGGUAUUGUGACAUAUUCCUGGAGCAAGUACCCAGGUAAUGUAACUCUUUUCUACUGCUUGGACUCUACCCAAGGAGAGAUUCUAAUGUAUCACUGGACCCAGCACCUAGGUUACGUGACUUUCCUCUUGUGUCUGAGUCUUGCAUAAAUUGUGUAUUGUGACAAAUCUCUGGGUCUAAAACCUAGGUGAUGAGACUCUUAUGCAUGAGCCCUGCUUACAGGGAUAUUAUGACAUAUCUUUUUUUUUUAAUCACCUAUGUGAUGUGCCUUUGUUUGUGUGUGUGUGUGUGUGUGCGUCCUGGCCCUGCCAAAAGUGGGGAUUGUAACAUAUCAUUAAACUUAGUACCAAGGUGUUAUGACUCACCUUGUUUGCCUGGGCCCUGCAUAUAUUUGGUAAUGUGACGUAUGGCUGAGACAAACACCUAGGGCAUGAGAGCCUUGUGCCUGGGUCCUGCCCACAAGGAGCCUUUUGGCUUAUCUCUGCAUCCAUGAACUAGGAGAUGUGACUCUUCUUUUCUGUCUGGGUUCUGCAAAAACAAGUGAUUGUGACAUAUCAUCAAACCCAGCAACUAGACGAUGUGAUUUUUCUUCCCUGCUUGAGCCCUGGAUAUGCUGUGCAUUGUGAUAUAUGGCUGGGUCCAACAUCAAGGAGAGAUUGUGACAUAUCUCUGGAACCAGAACCUUGGUGAUGUGACUCUUCUCUCCUGCUGAAGCCAUGCCCACACAAGGGAAAGUGACUUAUCACUGGGCCCAGCACACAGCGCUAUUCACAGGGAAAAUAGUGACACAUCUGUGGGGUUCUCACCGAAAUGAUGUGACUCUCUUGCCUGGGCUCACCUCUCAAGGGAAUUUUGACAUAUUACUGGACCAAGCACCUAGGCCCUGCAUUUAUUGUGUAUUGUGACAUAUGGCUUGGUCCAACACCUAGGUGGUGUGACUCUCUACUUCUUCCUGUGCCAUGCCAAAGAAGAGGAUUGUGACAUAUCACUGGAUCCAGCACCUAGGAUGCAUAUGCCAGAUUUCCAGGCCCAUCACCUAGAUGAUGAGACUCUCCUCUUCUUUCUGGGACCAAUACACAGUGGGAAUUGUGAUGCAUCGUUUAGCUCAGCAGCUACAUGAUGUGACCCUCUUCUCAUGAGAUUCCUGCCCACUUGGGUAAUUGCAACAUAUAAUGUAGCCGAGUUUCUAGGAUACCUGACUCUUCUCUUAUUCCUGAGACUUACACAGAAUCGGCAACAUCUCUGAUCUUCUCACCUAGGUUAUGCAAAUGGAGGUGGAUUGUGACAUAUCAUAGGGCCAACACAACACACAGUCUACAGGUGGAAUUGGGACUCUCAUGCAUGGAUCCAGUUCAUCAUUGAUACUGUGACUCAGGUGGGAUUUUGACAUAUAACUGCACCCAGCACACAGGUGAGAUUGUGACUCUUGUAUGCUCAUCCUGCCAAAAGUUGAGUGUCACCCUCACACAUGGACAGAGACUUCUGUGGUCCAUUACAUUGAUGACAUUAUGCUGAUUGAAUCCAGUAAGCAAGAAAUAGCAAACACACCAGACUUAUUCAUGAGACGUUUGCAUGCCAGAGGAUGGAAAAUAAGUCUGACUAAAAUUUAGAGACCUUCUAGCUCAGUAAAACUUCCAGGGGUCCAGUGGUCCAAGGCCUGUCAAGAUAGUCCUUCUAAGGUAAAAGGUAAGUUGCUGCAUUUGGCCCAUCCUACAACCAAGAAAGAGGCACAAUGUCUAGUGGGCCUAUUUGGGUUUUGGAGGCAACCUAUUCCUCAUUUGGGUGUGUUACUCUGGCCCAUUUAUUGAGUGACCCAAAAAGCUGCCAGUUCUGAGUGUGGUCCAGAAAAGGAGAAGGCUCUGCAACAGGUCCAGGCUGCUGUGCAAGCUGCUCUGCCACUUGGGCCAUAUUACCCAGGAGAUCCAAUGGAUCUUGAGUUGUCAGUGUAAAAUAAGGAUGCUAUUUGUAGCCUUUGGCAGGCCCCCUUAGGUGAAUCACAGCAGAGGCCUCUAGAAUUUUGUUCUUUC